UUCCGCCAGGAGUCGGCAGAAGGCUGGGCCUCAGACGGGUUGGUGUCCCCUCCAGCCCUAAGAGACAAGCCCUGCUUGGUGGGGGAGAAGGAGUGGAUCACUGCCCCAGCUCCCCAGACCAUCAGUGACCUCUUCCAAAAUGGGAACUGGACGAUGGCGAACCCCUCCCCUGCCUGCCAUAGUAGCCAUGACGAAAUCAAGAAGAUGCUGCCUGUGCCUCCUCCACGGGUUUGCAUUUCUACCAGGAACAGCAAGCAAACUGGAUCUGAAGCAACUGUCUCAGGAUUUUCGAGGGAAAACAAAGCCUAAAGAAGAUGUUUUAUUUUUCCUAAAUAUUCAGGUCAAGCUCAUCAAAUCUGCAGAAGGAAGCAGGGGAGGUGGAUCCAAGGAUGGCGGAGCUGCAUAGGAGGGAAGUAGCCCCACAUGUAAACUAUGGAGGACACCCCUGGCUGCCUUUCUCACUUUUAAAGAGAUGUACUUAUUCUCAUCCAUUUCACCUUGGGAGGAUGAUUUUCUACGUUACAGAUUGAAAUAAAAACAGCAAACAAGAAGCUCAAAGAAUCUAAGUGCUUGCUUCAGGAACAAAAUGAAUUAUUUAGAGUUGGUUUGUUCACUUUGAUUGCUCUCCUGUAAUCAGGGUUACAGGAUACUAUAACUGGGUUAUUCUUUCCCAUUUUGGUAUUUAAGUG
Molecule: long non-coding RNA, 689 nt
Organism: Phacochoerus africanus (Common warthog)
Lineage: Eukaryota; Metazoa; Chordata; Mammalia; Artiodactyla; Suidae
Exons: 5
Source: RefSeq, a predicted model, not a curated record